UCUCUCUUGGCAUAGUGGUAAGUAUGUCGGCUUGUCGCGCCGAAGACGCGAGUUCGAUUCUCGUAGAGAGAG
Molecule: transfer RNA, 72 nt
Filed under: Melanomma pulvis-pyrius CBS 109.77
Lineage: Eukaryota; Fungi; Ascomycota; Dothideomycetes; Pleosporales; Melanommataceae
Rfam family: tRNA
About the family: Transfer RNA (tRNA) molecules are approximately 80 nucleotides in length. Their secondary structure includes four short double-helical elements and three loops (D, anti-codon, and T loops).
Source: Rfam by way of RNAcentral